Molecule: ribosomal RNA, 468 nt
Filed under: uncultured bacterium
Lineage: Bacteria
Description: partial 16S ribosomal RNA
Rfam family: Bacterial small subunit ribosomal RNA
Source: RNAcentral
GACGAACGCUGGCGGCGUGCUUAACACAUGCAAGUCGAACGGAAAGGCCCUGCUUUUGUGGGGUGCUCGAUUGGCGAACGGGUGAGUAACACGUGAGUAACCUGCCCUUAACUUUGGGAUAACUUCAGGAAACUGGGGCGAAUAACCCGUAUGAUCUCCUGCUGCAUAUUGUGGGUUGGAAAGUUUCGGCGGUUGGGUAUGGACUCGCUGAUUAACAGCUUGUUUGUGGGGUAGUGGCUUACCAGGCCUUUGACGGGUAGCCGGCCUGAGAGGGUGAACAGGCACAUUGGGACUGCGAUAGGCAGCAGAAGGCAACCGGAGGCAGUGGUGGGAAAUAUUGCACAAUGGGGGGAAGCCUGAUGUAGAAACGCCGCGUGCGGGAAGCUGGCUUUCGGGUUGUAAACAGCUUUCGCAUGUGACGAAGAGUGAGUGACGGUAAUGGGUAAAGAAGCACCGGCUAACUACGUG